This 67-nucleotide transfer RNA is filed under the name Plica plica (tree runner). Its description in RNAcentral is "tRNA-Lys". The record is from RNAcentral. Lineage: Eukaryota; Metazoa; Chordata; Lepidosauria; Squamata; Tropiduridae.
CACUGAGAAGCUUCUAUAGCAUUAGCCUUUUAAGCUAAAGAAGGAGGGAAGCCCCCCCCCUCAAUGA